This 459-nucleotide ribosomal RNA is filed under the name uncultured bacterium. RNAcentral describes it as "partial 16S ribosomal RNA". It matches the Rfam family "Bacterial small subunit ribosomal RNA", at positions 338 to 795 of the family's 1533-position model. The record is from RNAcentral.
CCUACGGGAGGCAGCAGUGAGGAAUAUUGGUCAAUGGUCGGGAGACUGAACCAGCCAAGCCGCGUGAGGGAUGAAGGUACAGAGUAUCGUAAACCUCUUUUGUCAGGGAACAAAGGCGGGGACGCGUCCCCGGAUGAGUGUACCUGAAGAAAAAGCAUCGGCUAACUCGGUGCCAGCAGCCGCGGUAAUACGGAGGAUGAGAGCGUUAUCCGGAUUUAUUGGGGUUAAAGGGGGGGCAGGCGGUCUGUUAAGUCAGCGGUCAAAGCCCGGGGCUCAACCCCGGCCCGACGUUGAAACUGGGAGUCUGGAGUUGAGGAGAGGUAUGCGGAAUGCGCGGUGUAGCGGUGAAAUGCAUAGAUAUCGCGCAGAACUCCGAUUGCGAAGGCAGCAUGCCGGCUCCACACUGACGCUGAGGCACGAAAGCGUGGGUAUCGAACAGGAGUAGAUACCCUUGUAGUC